This 596-nucleotide ribosomal RNA is filed under the name fungal endophyte sp. g109. Its description in RNAcentral is "eukaryotic LSU rRNA". The stretch from base 217 to 370 matches the Rfam family "5.8S ribosomal RNA". The record is from RNAcentral. Lineage: Eukaryota; Fungi.
CUUGGUCAUUUAGAGGAAGUAAAAGUCGUAGCAAGGUCUCCGUUGGUGAACCAGCGGAGGGAUCAUUACCGAGUUUACAACUCCCAAACCCCUGUGAACAUACCAAUUGUUGCCUCGGCGGAUCAGCCCGCUCCCGGUAAAACGGGACGGCCCGCCAGAGGACCCCUAAACUCUGUUUCUAUAUGUAACUUCUGAGUAAAACCAUAAAUAAAUCAAAACUUUCAACAACGGAUCUCUUGGUUCUGGCAUCGAUGAAGAACGCAGCAAAAUGCGAUAAGUAAUGUGAAUUGCAGAAUUCAGUGAAUCAUCGAAUCUUUGAACGCACAUUGCGCCCGCCAGUAUUCUGGCGGGCAUGCCUGUUCGAGCGUCAUUUCAACCCUCAAGCCCUCGGGUUUGGUGUUGGGGAUCGGCGAGCCCUUGCGGCAAGCCGGCCCCGAAAUCUAGUGGCGGUCUCGCUGCAGCUUCCAUUGCGUAGUAGUAAAACCCUCGCAACUGGUACGCGGCGCGGCCAAGCCGUUAAACCCCCAACUUCUGAAUGUUGACCUCGGAUCAGGUAGGAAUACCCGCUGAACUUAAGCAUAUCAAUAAGCGGAGGA